Molecule: ribosomal RNA, 904 nt
Filed under: Cladosporium variabile
Lineage: Eukaryota; Fungi; Ascomycota; Dothideomycetes; Cladosporiales; Cladosporiaceae
Description: LSU rRNA
Rfam family: Eukaryotic large subunit ribosomal RNA
Source: RNAcentral
GCAUAUCAAUAAGCGGAGGAAAAGAAACCAACAGGGAUUGCUCUAGUAACGGCGAGUGAAGCAGCAAUAGCUCAAAUUUGAAAUCUGGCGUCUUCGACGUCCGAGUUGUAAUUUGUAGAGGAUGCUUCUGAGUGGCCACCGACCUAAGUUCCUUGGAACAGGACGUCAUAGAGGGUGAGAAUCCCGUAUGCGGUCGGAAAGGCGCUCUAUACGUAGCUCCUUCGACGAGUCGAGUUGUUUGGGAAUGCAGCUCUAAAUGGGAGGUAAAUUUCUUCUAAAGCUAAAUAUUGGCCAGAGACCGAUAGCGCACAAGUAGAGUGAUCGAAAGAUGAAAAGCACUUUGGAAAGAGAGUUAAAAAGCACGUGAAAUUGUUAAAAGGGAAGGGAUUGCAACCAGACUUGCUCGCGGUGUUCCGCCGGUCUUCUGACCGGUCUACUCGCCGCGUUGCAGGCCAGCAUCGUCUGGUGCCGCUGGAUAAGACUUGAGGAAUGUAGCUCCCUCGGGAGUGUUAUAGCCUCUUGUGAUGCAGCGAGCGCCGGGCGAGGUCCGCGCUUCGGCUAGGAUGCUGGCGUAAUGGUCGUAAUCCGCCCGUCUUGAAACACGGACCAAGGAGUCUAACAUCUAUGCGAGUGUUCGGGUGUCAAACCCCUACGCGUAAUGAAAGUGAACGGAGGUGAGAACCGCAAGGUGCAUCAUCGACCGAUCCUGAUGUCUUCGGAUGGAUUUGAGUAAGAGCAUAGCUGUUGGGACCCGAAAGAUGGUGAACUAUGCCUGAAUAGGGUGAAGCCAGAGGAAACUCUGGUGGAGGCUCGCAGCGGUUCUGACGUGCAAAUCGAUCGUCAAAUUUGGGUAUAGGGGCGAAAGACUAAUCGAACCAUCUAGUAGCUGGGUUCCUGCCGAAGU